UACGUAGGGAGCAAGCGUUGUCCGGAAUCAUUGGGCGUAAAGCGCACGUAGGCGGAUUGUUAAGUCAGGGGUGAAAUCCUGGAGCUCAACUCCAGAACUGCCUUUGAUACUGGCGAUCUCGAGUCCGGGAGAGGUGAGUGGAACUGCGAGUGUAGAGGUGAAAUUCGUAGAUAUUCGCAAGAACACCAGUGGCGAAGGCGGCUCACUGGCCCGGUACUGACGCUGAGGUGCGAAAGCGUGGGGAGCAAACAGG
This 253-nucleotide ribosomal RNA is filed under the name uncultured bacterium. Its description in RNAcentral is "partial 16S ribosomal RNA". It matches the Rfam family "Bacterial small subunit ribosomal RNA", at positions 524 to 776 of the family's 1533-position model. The record is from RNAcentral.